This 264-nucleotide ribosomal RNA is filed under the name uncultured Spirochaetota bacterium. Its description in RNAcentral is "uncultured Spirochaetes bacterium partial 16S ribosomal RNA". It matches the Rfam family "Bacterial small subunit ribosomal RNA", at positions 1119 to 1382 of the family's 1533-position model. Lineage: Bacteria; Pseudomonadati; Spirochaetota. The record is from RNAcentral.
CGUCAUUUAGUUGGGGACUCUGGGGAGACCGCUGCAGUAACAAUGCAGAGGAAGGUGGGGACGACGUCAAGUCAUCAUGGUCCUUAUGUCCAGGGCUACACACGUGCUACAAUGGUAGUUACAGAGGGCAGCGAGGCCGCAAGGCGGAGCUAAUCUCAGAAAAGCUGCCACAGUUCGGAUUGAGGUCUGCAACUCGGCCUCAUGAAGCUGGAAUCGCUAGUAAUCGCGUAACAGCAUGACGCGGUGAAUACGUUCCCGGGCCUU